CGUCACGGCCGGGCGCGGGGGGCCGCGGCCAUCGGCGGCGCCCGGCCCCGGGGCGGUCGCGGGAGCCGGGGAAGAAAUGCGAAGAGCGACGAAAAAAGUCUCGAGAGCCCGAGCGCGGGCGGCUUUUUCCCCCGGCCGCCGCCUCCUUUUUGACCCAGUGGACCCUGGAGCCCAUUCCCAUCCUGCACAGCAAGAGCAGCCCAUUGCUGGCCCAGGUGAGAACUCAGACACCUUCAUUCAUUUUCUUCUCGGUGGCAGAUGCCUGAAAGACCUUUGCCUAAUGUGGCAAGGAAGCCCCAAGGUGGGAAGAGCCAUCUGGCUGUAGCUGAGGCCGUUCUCCAUGUGUUCUUGCCUCCAAAUGUCCUAACAUUCCUACUUUGGUGCAAUAUUGUGGUGCAAGAGGGCAACGUGUCAUUUGGUUGCUUGCUGAGGCCAUGCUCACCUUCAAGCCCCACACUUCAGGUAUCUUGAAGCUGAGGGAGCAGGCAUGGAAAGGGUUCCCAGCAGGAUUUCACAUGGUAGAAACCCAGUGUUACUAGUCUCACACUUAGCCCUCACAACCAAUUGCACUAGUGUGUGCUCCUUGCUGUGACUGAUCCUGGCAAAUGGGCCUCUCACCUUCCUAAUCCAGGUAGUUCCCAGAGAGCUGCCAUUCCAAAGCCAGACUUCAUGCCUCAAACUCACAGCUCAUAGAGAAAAUGCCCUGUAUAAAUUGUCAGCUCUGAAGCCAAACCCUUCCCCACUUAGCUUGCACAGUAAAUCAAGCUUUGCUGCUACUUUCCAUCCAGCUCCAUUACACAAGUAGUCUGAUUUGGCUUUAUGGCAGAAAAGCAUUUCAGCUAAAAUGGGAUUUUUCACAGAGUGGGGGAUAAACAUGACUAUUUUAUUUGUAAAGUGAAAGGCUAUGAGAUUGUAACAGGGAGUGCAGGUGCAGUUUCAAAUCCCUGCCUGGCUGUCUCAGUACCUGGGCUUGGUGCCUGAUUUCUCUCAUGCUCAGAUCUACAGCAGCACCACAACAAAUCAGAACCUUCCAUGAAAGCUUUCACUCCUCAUGUUUAAAAUGUCAUUUCCAUUAAUGCCUGUGAAAUUUUGCCCUGCGUCUUUUGGAAGUGAAAAUAGCCAGCCCCCAGAACUACUGUACCAUCCUUGUUCCCCACAAAUGUUAAUUCAUCAUUAAAAUUAUUAAACAGUAAAUGGCUGAGAUGUGUUAUUACAAGCUUGAAGUAUUUCCUUGGAUUGUUUAAAAAUCUCUGUUUUAAUUUGAGUCAUCUAUUUUUUUUCCUUUUACAGUUUUGAGUGCUCUAUCUUACCAUAUGUGAAACAUUUCUUAAAGGUGUCAAAGUGACUUGUCAUGGGUUUGGAAUGAGAACUAAAUUAAAUGUCCAUACUGUAACAUACUUAUAUAAAUAAUGAGAUAUUCCAGUAUAAACCAUUCAUUUGGCAGGCAUUUCUACAUCAGCAAGUACUAAGUGCUAUAGAAUUCCUGCCUAAAUUUGACACAUGCAGAGAAAAUCAGGAAGGAAAAUGUGUGUCUGUGUGUGUGUAUGUGUUUAGAGUUUUAUAGAAAAAGACAGCCCCUUGUAGUCCGUUGCCAUGAAAGUAUUUCUAACAUUUUUGGAAAUAGUGCAAGGAGUUUAACAAAAUAUUCUGGAUUCACAGCAUAAUGCUGGAGCAUUCAUCUGUCUCCCACUGAAAUCCAAAACUUGUUUCCAUAAUUUAGAAACAGAAAUGGAUAAAAAAGGCAUUAAUGAACACAAGAAUGAUUUAUUAUGGAUGUUAUUGCAUCACUGCUUUUAAGAAAAAAUACAUUGAAUAAGAAUUCUACAUAAAAUAAAAAAUGCUUCCUAUUGAACAUUGCUCAGAGUUUGCUUAUUAAUAUAUUAUAUCACUGCAUUGCCAGGUCUGGCAUUUCUCAUCCAAAUAAUCUUUCAAAGUGCCAGCAAGGCUUGUGGGCUGCAGAGCAAACCAUGUUAGGAAUAAUGCAUGUACAGAAACACAACAGCAGCGAAGUUAGUUUUGCUGGGAUUCUGGAAAUAACACUGGAGAGCCUUUUUUCUUGCAUCAGCUUCACAAACUUUCAUGGCACCAGGCGAACAAUAAUCAAAAAUGUAUAAUAGAUAUUUAGUUCUAAGUUGUCUUUCAAACUGCCCAGCUGCCUUAAGCAGUGUUUUGAAUAAAAGUCUUUCUCACUCAAAGGUCCAUGCACCAUGCACAGCACGCAUGGUAAAGAAACCUUGUACUCUAGGUGAAUUUUAUCUUCAGACAAAUGGCAUCACCUACCUGUUCUGAUGGUGUCUGGUUUGAUGGCAGCAGAUCCUGCCCCUGCUGAAGAGCGAGUCCCAGACCCCAAGUCUGACAGAGAUGGGCAGUCUGGCCCAAAGCAAUCACAGAACUUGCUCACAUUUAAAGACUCACUUCAGGUUUAAGUCGAGAUGUGCUGGUUGAGACAUGGAUUUUUUGCAGGCACCAGGUGUAGCAUAGUCUGUAUAUUUGUCUGUGAUUCAUGGACAAAUCUGUCUUUAUAUUUGCCCAUGAUUCAUCUCCAAAAACUGUAUCGUCUUGGAUGACCUCUGAAAUCUCUCUGGAUUAAGAAAUAAAUAAGUUACCCAUUCCACUAUUUGUCUAUGCCUUAGUGACUUAAAAGAUUGAAAUAGUUUCUCGCUUGGAAUCAAAGUUCAUAACUACAGCAAUUAACUCGUAGCUUUUCAUAGAUUGCUUCAUGUAAAUGCAGAAGUGUUUCUAAGUAGUUUACAGAUGUAUUUCAGUUAUCUUCAAAACAUGGUUAAUUACAUGAAUUCAGAAGCUUCCAGAAAAUAAUUUGAUCGAGUGUUAAUCUCAGUUGAAUCAUGUUAAACAAGAUCAUUUUUGUCUUUAUUGCAACUGAUAGCUGAAGUUUAUGGUCAAGAAGAACAAACCUUCCACUGCAGUCUUCAAAGUUGUGUCCCCAGCCUGUAAUGAAGAAAAAAUCUAUCUGUGGUGGAAUUUGGGGAGCACAAGGGUCCUAGCAAGGGUAGUGGUGUGCCUAAGACAGCCACCCAUGGUCUGGGUUGCGCCUAUAGCAUACAGGAACUCGUGAUGGCACCAGGCACCCCAGGUGACUCCAGAGGAGAUAAACAAUUGGUUAAGUUUGACUCAUGAGGUGCAUUGGGGUAGGAACUAUUAACUUCUUUCAUGCUCUUGGUGCCCUCAACACACUCUUGCAAUAACAUUGCGGGACUUUUUUUCUAUAUAUCUACUAGGGGUAAUUUAAUGACAGUUCAUUGCUCACUUGUCCUUGGGUUGUACGGAUUUCUUUAACUAAACACCUAUUUUUGUAAAGAUUUUUGACCUAUAUAAAGCAACAAAGUUUCUAUGAGCUUUUUGCUUAAAAUCCUCUCUGACAAGAAUCUCACUAAAUAUUUGCUGAUCUCAACUAUGUUCCUAUGGCUUAAAAACCUGUAUCAAUAACUCAAGGGUACAAAUGUGUCAAGUGGUUGCAAUUAUCUUCUAAACAAACAUUGGAAAAGAAAAAAGGCACAAGCUAAGCCAUAGAAAAACAUGGUUAAUGCACUCCAAUUUACCUUGUCCAAUAGUGACUCCAUCACAUAAUGAUGUAUUUAUGAUGAGUGCAUAGCAGAGUCUGAAACCUUAUUUUUUUUAAAAACUGAAAACUGCUUAGCUUUCUUUUUUUUUUCUUUUUUUUUUCCCCCUCCUAAUGGUGU
Long non-coding RNA from Camarhynchus parvulus, 3701 nucleotides. NCBI's taxonomy places the organism in Eukaryota, Metazoa, Chordata, Aves, Passeriformes, Thraupidae. The record is from Ensembl.